GGAGAAGCCUCGAGACUCUGAGCAUGCGCAAUGACAUUCCCGCCUUGGAUGCGUCAUGAAGAGGACGCAUACUAAUUACUAAUGGUUAAUUUCAUGUGGAACUACGUUAUUAGACAGAAGCACACUUCUUCAUCCUGACAUGUUGAGCAGGUUUCUGUGAAGCGCAGAGAUGAGGCAAAUCCGUGCCGGGAUUAUCUCCCACUUUCUCACCUUGCACAGGUGUGGAGAGCUGAUAUGGCCCAAACCCACAUGCUCCCGAAGCACCAUGGGUAGAAGUGGGACAGCUGUGAGAGGGAAGCCACAGGGGUGAGGGAAAACUGGUCUUGUUCAAUGGGCUUUUCAACCCACGCUCCCAGUCCCGCUUUGCUGAAAGCUUUGAAGAGAGUUUGUUUAGCUGCAUGAUACUCCACUGCCGCUUGUUUUGCCUCGUGGUAGGAGCCCGGACAAGAUCCUCGGAUCCGCAGAGUCUCACUGAGCUGAGAGAGACAGACCCAGCGACUGUAGAGAGCAUGUUUGCAGAGGUGAGACUGUCUUCCAAGGUCAUCUUUCCCCGUGGUGGCAUUAAUGAUCUCCAACCCCUGAUCUCCGACCGUCCAGUUGACGCUGAAGUUGGGAGCUUUCCCAGGUGACGCAUGAAAUUCGAGCUCUCGAAAAGCCUUGGCUCACAGCUGCAUGAUAACGACCGCGUUUAACUGGAGUGGGAUUCUUGGUAUCCAACAUGAGGCAUGCGGAUGUGUUUGCGGCAGCAGGCUUCCCUCAGCAGGACGGCUGUUUUUUGGAGGCCAUAAUCAGAGUACUAAUCAGGGGCCAAAUGCCCCUGCUCCAGGGAGCCCCCCGCUCUGGAGAGAGCUGAAGUGAUUGGGGUUUCAGAGCCAAGAAGACAGCCAAUCAGCUGCUUUCUGAGUGCCACUGGAUGCAGGCGACAGAAUGCUAAUGAGAUGGACUCAUUAAAGGUGGUGGGUGGAAAAAAGUGAGACUGUCACAGGAAGAGUUCGACGUUGAGUGGAUCAAGGAUAGGUGUUGACACAAAAGUGGGCCACCUGAUGUCAGCAGCCUUUUUUUUUUUUAAUACAUUGAAUACAAAUCAUCAACCGAAGCUUCAGCCAUGUUUUACAUAGAAAAAGUCAUCUAAACUGUGCAUACUUCAAGAUGGGAAAUCAAAAAGAAACUUUAUCUUAAAACAUGAAAAGGACAAAUUCAAAUAGAUUUGCAAAUUAAAAUAAACCCCCACUGAAGUUCAUAAUUAUUGCAAAGACGAACUUUUAAAUUCGAAUUUAUAAUAUUUGUAAUGCACACACACAUUAUUUUUAUUUAUUUAUUUAUUUUAGAUCUUUCAAUUAGUCAAUGCACAUUAAAUUCCUGAUGGAUAAAAACAAGUCCCACUCUAAGUUUUUUUUUU
Megalobrama amblycephala (Wuchang bream) is the source of this 1399-nucleotide long non-coding RNA. RefSeq lists it as uncharacterized. The record is from RefSeq and is a predicted model, not a curated record. The transcript has 6 exons. Lineage: Eukaryota; Metazoa; Chordata; Actinopteri; Cypriniformes; Xenocyprididae.